CAGCAGCCGCGGGAAAACGAGGGGGGCAAGCGUUGUUCGGAAUUAUUGGGCGUAAAGGGUGCGUAGGCGGAUUGUUUAGUUAGGCGUGAAAUUCCUGGGCUUAACCUGGGGACUGCGCUUAAUACAGGCAGUCUAGAGUGAGGAAGAGGGUUGUGGAAUUCCCAGUGUAGAGGUGAAAUUCGUAGAUACUGGGAAGAACACCGGUGGCGAAGGCGGUCAUCUGGGACAACACUGACGCUGAGGCGCGAAAGCGUGGGGAGCAAACAGGAUUAGAUACCCCUGUAGUCCCUGUCUCUUAUAC
Molecule: ribosomal RNA, 301 nt
Filed under: uncultured bacterium
Lineage: Bacteria
Description: partial 16S ribosomal RNA
Rfam family: Bacterial small subunit ribosomal RNA
Source: RNAcentral